This 301-nucleotide ribosomal RNA is filed under the name uncultured bacterium. RNAcentral describes it as "partial 16S ribosomal RNA". It matches the Rfam family "Bacterial small subunit ribosomal RNA", at positions 509 to 807 of the family's 1533-position model. The record is from RNAcentral.
CAGUAGCCGCGGUAAUACCGAGGGUGCGAGCGUUAAUCGGAUUUACUGGGCGUAAAGCGUGCGUAGGCGGCUAAUUGAGUCGGAUGUGAAAUCCCCGAGCUUAACUUGGGAAUUGCAUUCGAUACUGGGAAGCUAGAGUAUGGGAGAGGAUGGUAGAAUUCCAGGUGUAGCGGUGAAAUGCGUAGAGAUCUGGAGGAAUACCGAUGGCGAAGGCAGCCAUCUGGCCUAAUACUGACGCUGAGGUACGAAAGCAUGGGGAGCAAACAGGAUUAGAUACCCCCGUAGUCCCUGUCUCUUAUAC